This 74-nucleotide transfer RNA is filed under the name Enterococcus canis. It matches the Rfam family "tRNA". From Rfam's summary of the family: Transfer RNA (tRNA) molecules are approximately 80 nucleotides in length. Their secondary structure includes four short double-helical elements and three loops (D, anti-codon, and T loops). The record is from Rfam by way of RNAcentral. Lineage: Bacteria; Bacillati; Bacillota; Bacilli; Lactobacillales; Enterococcaceae.
GUUCCCGUAGCUCAGUAGGAUAGAGCGAGCGCCUCCUAAGCGCUAGGCCAUCGGUUCGAUUCCGGUCGGGAACG